AUUGAACGCUGGCGGCAUGAUUUACACAUGCAAGUCGAACGGUAACAGGCCGCAAGGUGCUGACGAGUGGCGAACGGGUGAGUAAUGCAUCGGAACGUGCCCAGUCGUGGGGGAUAACUACUCGAAAGAGUAGCUAAUACCGCAUACGAUCUAUGGAUGAAAGCGGGGGACCGUAAGGCCUCGCGCGAUUGGAGCGGCCGAUGUCAGAUUAGGUAGUUGGUGGGGUAAAGGCUCACCAAGCCAACGAUCUGUAGCUGGUCUGAGAGGACGACCAGCCACACUGGGACUGAGACACGGCCCAGACUCCUACGGGAGGCAGCAGUGGGGAAUUUUGGACAAUGGGCGCAUGCCUGAUCCAGCAAUGCCGCGUGCAGGAAGAAGGCCUUCGGGUUGUAAACUGCUUUUGUACGGAACGAAACGGCUCUGGUUAAUACCCGGGGCUAAUGACGGUACCGUAAGAAUAAGCACCGGCUAACUACGUG
RNAcentral lists this ribosomal RNA (482 nucleotides) under uncultured bacterium. RNAcentral's name for it is "partial 16S ribosomal RNA". It matches the Rfam family "Bacterial small subunit ribosomal RNA", at positions 30 to 507 of the family's 1533-position model. The record is from RNAcentral.